Molecule: ribosomal RNA, 234 nt
Filed under: uncultured bacterium
Lineage: Bacteria
Description: partial 16S ribosomal RNA
Rfam family: Bacterial small subunit ribosomal RNA
Source: RNAcentral
UGGCGGACGGGUGAGUAAUGUCUGGGAAACUGCCCGAUGGAGGGGGAUAACUACUGGAAACGGUAGCUAAUACCGCAUAACGUCGCAAGACCAAGAGGGGACCGUUCGGGCCUCUUGCCAUCGGAUGUGCCCAGAUGGGAUUAGCUAGUAGGUGGGGUAACGGCUCACCUAGGCGACGAUCCCUAGCUGGUCUGAGAGGAUGACCAGCCACACUGGAACUGAGACACGGUCCAG